Saccostrea echinata is the source of this 121-nucleotide long non-coding RNA. RefSeq lists it as uncharacterized. The record is from RefSeq and is a predicted model, not a curated record. NCBI's taxonomy places the organism in Eukaryota, Metazoa, Mollusca, Bivalvia, Ostreida, Ostreidae. The transcript has 3 exons.
AGUGCAAAAUACAAGGAUGAGGUUAUCUCCCGUGAAGAUCACCAUUACCAGGGAAUUUCAAAAACAGAAACGACUGAUACAAAUGUUUAUGAAAAGAUCAAAGACUCUCAUAAAGCAGAAA